This is a small nucleolar RNA of Juglans microcarpa x Juglans regia, 79 nucleotides long. RefSeq annotates it as small nucleolar RNA R160. NCBI's taxonomy places the organism in Eukaryota, Viridiplantae, Streptophyta, Magnoliopsida, Fagales, Juglandaceae. The transcript has a single exon. The record is from RefSeq and is a predicted model, not a curated record.
AGCAAAAUGAUGAGAUUCUUUUGUCUGAAUAUGAUGUAGAACCUCAUAUCAUAUUGGUCUUCAAAGUUCUCUGAUUGUU